This 295-nucleotide ribosomal RNA is filed under the name uncultured bacterium. Its description in RNAcentral is "partial 16S ribosomal RNA". It matches the Rfam family "Bacterial small subunit ribosomal RNA", at positions 386 to 674 of the family's 1533-position model. The record is from RNAcentral.
AUGGAGCAACGCGCGUGAGUGAAGAAGGUUUUCGGAUCGUAAAGCUCUGUUGUUGGUGAAGAAGGAUAGAGGUAGUAACUGGCCUUUAUUUGACGGUAAUCAACCAGAAAGUCACGGCUAACUACGUGCCAGCAGCCGCGGUAAUACGUAUGUGGCAAGCGUUGUCCGGAUUUAUUGGGCGUAAAGCGAGCGCAGGCGGAAGAAUAAGUCUGAUGUGAAAGCCCUCGGCUUAAGCGACGAACUGCAUCGGAAACUGUUUUUCUUGAGUGCAUAAGACGAGAGUGGAACUCCAUGU